GAUGAACGCUGGCGGCGUGCCUAAUACAUGCAAGUCGAGCGAACGGACGAGAAGCUUGCUUCUCUGAUGUUAGCGGCGGACGGGUGAGUAACACGUGGAUAACCUACCUAUAAGACUGGGAUAACUUCGGGAAACCGGAGCUAAUACCGGAUAAUAUUUUGAACCGCAUGGUUCAAAAGUGAAAGACGGUCUUGCUGUCACUUAUAGAUGGAUCCGCGCUGCAUUAGCUAGUUGGUAAGGUAACGGCUUACCAAGGCAACGAUGCAUAGCCGACCUGAGAGGGUGAUCAGCCACACUGGAACUGAGACACGGUCCAGACUCCUAAGGGAGGCAGCAGUAGGGAAUCUUCCGCAAUGGGCGAAAGCCUGACGGAGCAACGCCGCGUGAGUGAUGAAGGUCUUCGGAUCGUAAAACUCUGUUAUUAGGGAAGAACAUAUGUGUAAGUAACUGUGCACAUCUUGACGGUACCUAAUCAGAAAGCCACGGCUAACUACGUG
RNAcentral lists this ribosomal RNA (497 nucleotides) under uncultured bacterium. RNAcentral describes it as "partial 16S ribosomal RNA". It matches the Rfam family "Bacterial small subunit ribosomal RNA", at positions 28 to 507 of the family's 1533-position model. The record is from RNAcentral.